CGCAAGUGUGUCCGUGCAGCUGGAAUUUCAACCUGGAGCUGAGACCUCCAGAUGGACUCCUAGAAGGGUGACGUGUAAAGCUGCAUCCCUCAGCAGCCCACGAUCUUGGCAGGUUUGCCACUGUGACCAAUGUUUUAUUGAAGCUUCUGAGGCCGUAGAGCACAGGGAAGUUCCGAGCACACAGAGGACAAGCCAGGGCGGUGCUGUGUGGCCCAAAACAACCUUAAGUAGGAGACAUGAGUGGGGGACGGUUUCUGACACCUUGAUUCCUCAUGUCUGUGUUUCUGCAGUGUGGAGCAUUGUGAGUCUGUGUGGCAGCAACCACGAAGAAAGUGAUACAGACUUGGUGGCGGAGAGCACCGACUGCCGCCAGGAUGAGGAGGCUGCAGAAUCUUGCUUUGGGAGGAAAGGAUCUUGCUGCAGGAGUCUGAGGAUAUGUUUGUCCUCUGUGAGCUUGGCUAGAAUAAUCCCAUGGUGGCCACACAACAGAGUGCACCCUGCCACUGAGCCAGACGAAGAUACUGUGGAACCUGACUCAGUACAUUCAGGCAUGAACAAUGAUUCUAGUUCAUUCAGUGUUCCAAAUUUCAGAACAAACUCUACCAUGCUGCUGCAUGAUGCAAAUUCAAAUGAGUUAACUCGGAGUUCCCAUCAAGGCGCAGUGGUUAACGAAUCCGACUAGGAACCAUGAGGUUGCGAGUUCAAUCUCUGGCCUUGCUCGGUGGGUUAAGGAUCCGGGGUUGCCGUGAGCUGUGGUGUAAGUCGCAGAUGCGGUUCGGAUCCUGAGUUGCAGCGGCCGUGGCGUAGGCCAGCAGCUACAACUCUGAUUAGACCCUAUCCUGGGAACCUCCAUAUGCCAGGGGAAGCGGGCCUAGAAAAGGCAAAAUGACCAAAAACCAACUAACCAAACAAAAACCAAAUUGAAUAACUCGGUAAUUUCACAACCAUGGAAAUAAGGAUUCAUUUAAACUCAACAUUUGGUUCCUGGUUAAUAGCAAAGAUGACCUCACUCAUGUUUUGACAUUUGCUGCUAUUUGACGUUUCUAGUUGUACUAGAUCCCUCCAUGGGACCACAUUUCCCAAUUUGAAAAAAAUACUAGACGUGAUUUAGAACAAGAUCAUAAUAUUAACAAGACAUGGUGAGCAGAUAUUAGGGAAAGCUCCCCUAACCCAUUCCUCCAGUUUCCACCAUUGACAACGUCCAGCACUGAAUGGGGAACGUGUGGUACACUGAGCGGCAAAAGGUUCAUAUAAUUUUAAUUAAUGAAAAGUUCCCCGUUUACAUUCAGAUUCAUUUUUUGUGUUGUGACCUUAGUUGAGGUUGGACACACGCACAAUAUUAGGAGUCCCCAGGAUGUUACUAUAGAGAACGUGUACAUUCCCAUUUGUAGCAGCGGGUUAUUCCCGACAGCCAAAAGGUGAAACCAAUCCCAAGGGACAAGAAGAGAUCAGGGGAGAGAUCAAAUGCGAUAUGUACCCAGAAGAGAACAGUGUUGUACCAGAAACAAAAUUAAACUAUUAAAUAGGGUAUCACAUGGAAGAUCCAAAAUAAAACACUGUUUAACAUAAGUGAGGAGCUCCCA
This 1583-nucleotide long non-coding RNA is filed under the name Sus scrofa (pig). RNAcentral describes it as "lncRNA (ENSSSCG00070001618.1)". Lineage: Eukaryota; Metazoa; Chordata; Mammalia; Artiodactyla; Suidae. The record is from RNAcentral.